AGAGUUGAUCAUGGCUCAGGAUGAACGCUAGCGACAGGCUUAACACAUGCAAGUCGAGGGGCAGCAUAAAAGUAGCAAUACUUGGUGGCGACCGGCGCACGGGUGAGUAACGCGUAUGCAACCUACCUAUCAGAGGGGAAUAACCCGGCGAAAGUCGGACUAAUACCGCAUAAACAGGGGCACCGCAUGGUGAUAUUUGUUAAAGAAAUUCGCUGAUAGAUGGGCAUGCGUUCCAUUAGGUAGUUGGUGAGGUAACGGCUCACCAAGCCGACGAUGGAUAGGGAACUGAGAGGUUGGUCCCCCACACUGGUACUGAGACACGGACCAGACUCCUACGGGAGGCAGCAGUGAGGAAUAUUGGUCAAUGGGCGGGAGCCUGAACCAGCCAAGUCGCGUGAAGGAAGAAGGAUCUAUGGUUCGUAAACUUCUUUUGCAGGGGAAUAAAGUGCAGGACGUGUCCUGUUUUGUAUGUACCCUGAGAAUAAGGAUCGGCUAACUCCGUGCCAGCCGCAGC
This 514-nucleotide ribosomal RNA is filed under the name uncultured bacterium. RNAcentral's name for it is "bacterial SSU rRNA". It matches the Rfam family "Bacterial small subunit ribosomal RNA", at positions 8 to 518 of the family's 1533-position model. The record is from RNAcentral.